This 253-nucleotide ribosomal RNA is filed under the name uncultured bacterium. RNAcentral's name for it is "partial 16S ribosomal RNA". It matches the Rfam family "Bacterial small subunit ribosomal RNA", at positions 524 to 776 of the family's 1533-position model. The record is from RNAcentral.
UACGUAGGGAGCAAGCGUUGUCCGGAAUCAUUGGGCGUAAAGCGCGCGUAGGUGGCCCUGUAAGUCCGUUGUGAAAGUCAAAGGCUCAACCUUUGAAAGCCGAUGGAUACUGCAGGGCUAGAGUCCGGAAGAGGCGAGUGGAAUUCCUGGUGUAGCGGUGGAAUGCGCAGAUAUCAGGAGGAACACCAAUAGCGAAGGCAGCUCGCUGGGACGGUACUGACACUAAGGCGCGAAAGCGUGGGGAGCGAACAGG